RNAcentral lists this small RNA (27 nucleotides) under Bombyx mori (domestic silkworm). RNAcentral describes it as "ovarian small RNA-32021". The record is from RNAcentral. Lineage: Eukaryota; Metazoa; Arthropoda; Insecta; Lepidoptera; Bombycidae.
UGACUGUUCAGCUCAAUAGUUCGCUUC